AUUCCAGCUCCAAUAGCGUAUAUUAAAGUUGUUGCAGUUAAAAAGCUCGUAGUUGGAUUUGUGGUGUUGCCUGUGGUCCAAAAUGUUUUGGUGCUGUCGGGUACUGCCAUCCUUGGGUGGAACCUGUGGGGCAUUAGGUUGUUUUGCAGGGGAUGCCCAUCGUUUACUGUGAAAAAAUUAGAGUGUUCAAAGCAGGCUUACGCCGUUGAAUAUAUUAGCAUGGAAUAAUGAGAUAGGACUCUGGUGCUAUUUUGUUGGUUUGCGCACCGAAGUAAUGAUUAAUAGGGACAGUUGGGGGUAUUCGUAUUCCAUUGUCAGAGGUGAAAUUCUUGGAUUUUUGGAAGACGAACUACUGCGAAAGCAUUUACCAAGGAUGUU
RNAcentral lists this ribosomal RNA (378 nucleotides) under Caloneis sp. NE-S01. Its description in RNAcentral is "SSU rRNA". It matches the Rfam family "Eukaryotic small subunit ribosomal RNA", at positions 582 to 968 of the family's 1831-position model. Lineage: Eukaryota; Bacillariophyta; Bacillariophyceae; Sellaphorales; Pinnulariaceae. The record is from RNAcentral.